CCUCGGGAGGCAGCAGUCGGGAAUAUUGGACAAUGGAGGAAACUCUGAUCCAGCAAUGCCGCGUGUGUGAUGAAGGCCUUAGGGUUGUAAAGCACUUUCAACGGUGAAGAUGAUGACGGUAGCCGUAGAAGAAGCCCCGGCUAACUUCGUGCCAGCAGCCGCGGUAAUACGAAGGGGGCGAGCGUUGUUCGGAAUUAUUGGGCGUAAAGGGCGCGCAGGCGGUUUGGAUAGUUAGACGUGAAAGCCCUGGGCUUAACCUAGGAACUGCGUUUAAUACUGCCAAACUAGAGAACUAGAGAGGAUAGCGGAACUCCCAGUGUAGAGGUGAAAUUCGUAGAUAUUGGGAAGAACAUCAGUGGCGAAAGCGGCUGUCUGGCUAGUUUCUGACGCUGAGGCGCGAAAGCGUGGGGAGCAAACAGGAUUAGAUACCCUGGUAGUCCACGCCGUAAACGAUGUGUGCUAGAUGUUGGAAGGUUACCUUGCAGUGUCGCAGCUAACGCGUUAAGCACACCGCCUGGGAAGUACGGUCGCAAGAUUAAAACUCAAAGGAAUUGACGG
RNAcentral lists this ribosomal RNA (558 nucleotides) under uncultured bacterium. RNAcentral's name for it is "bacterial SSU rRNA". It matches the Rfam family "Bacterial small subunit ribosomal RNA", at positions 339 to 916 of the family's 1533-position model. The record is from RNAcentral.